This 535-nucleotide unclassified non-coding RNA is filed under the name Hevea brasiliensis (rubber tree). Lineage: Eukaryota; Viridiplantae; Streptophyta; Magnoliopsida; Malpighiales; Euphorbiaceae. The record is from RNAcentral.
UGCUUUGAGAGUCGAAUCAUAAUUUCAUCAACACCUUGAAUCUCUACAUUUAAUUCUUAUCAAAGUGUGAGACAGAAAGCAGAGGAGGAGAUGAUAGCAAUUACAAAUACGAAAUUCAAGCAGGAAACAUCAAGAAAUUAUGCUAGUAAAAACGCCCGGUUAACCUUAGAAAGCAGAAAGCCAUUUUAGCUGCGUGACAAGGAGCUCUGCUUCUCAACAACUUGAACUGGUCCUUUUGUAGCCAUUUUAGACACAUCUUCACAUCAUUUUGGUGAGAAUUAUUCUUCUUCCUCCCCUUCUAUGACUAUGGUCUAUGGGCACGUAUAGAAAACUAGUGAAUAUCUCUCCACAGGGGGGUGCUGGAGGAUGUGAAGUAUCUAGAAAAUAUUCCUUUCAAAUUGUUGACAAGUGAAGCUGAGUGCUGGCUGCAUCGUGAUGUAGAGUCUCUGGAGUCCAACCUCCUGCAUCUUACAUCCAUCUCAAUAAAAAAUAAAGGGAAGCUUUCAAGAUUUUGCAUACUGAAACUGCCAAGAUC